This 190-nucleotide ribosomal RNA is filed under the name Varanus griseus. Its description in RNAcentral is "partial 12S ribosomal RNA". Lineage: Eukaryota; Metazoa; Chordata; Lepidosauria; Squamata; Varanidae. The record is from RNAcentral.
GCAGUCUGACUGUACUCAUAGGACCAAUCCACACCACUGCUCGGAGAUUACUACCAGACGCUGCUUCUCCUCGAGGACCUGGUGCUCCGCCAUAUCCCUCUAAAGGAGCCUGUUCUCGAUACCAUAAACCCCAAUCGACUCUAACCUCUUGCUCAGCCUAUAUACCGCCUCUUUCAAAAAACAAAACAAG